RNAcentral lists this long non-coding RNA (2290 nucleotides) under Homo sapiens (human). RNAcentral's name for it is "HSALNT0204409". The record is from RNAcentral. Lineage: Eukaryota; Metazoa; Chordata; Mammalia; Primates; Hominidae.
UUACAGGCAUGUGCCACCACACCCGGCUAAUUUCUUUUUUUAUUUUUAGUAGAGACAGGGUUUCACCAUGUUGGCUAGGCUGCUCUUGAACUCCUGACUUCAGGUGAUCCGCCCGCCUUGGCCUCCCAAAGUGCUGGGAUUACAGGCAUGAACCACCACGCCCAGCCAACAGCAAAAAUUUUAAGACCUCUAGAGAGCAAAGCAAGGAACACCAGUGGGUUUCAAAGGAAGCACAGUUUUCCUUCUCAUCAAGCCACCAACUCUAUGACAAUGGCUCUCAUUUGGGGAUGAAGCAAAGCAGUUACUGAAAAUCAAAAGAAUGUUGAGAAGAGAAAAGUUGUCAUGGAAAGAGCUCUGACCCCUAAUUCAGCUGAGGCUACCAGAGAAGCAGAGUCCCUGCCUCUUUUUUUAUCAGGCCCUUAGCAACUCACUUAUGGUGAAUACUAGUGAUGUAGUUUGCUUGUACAUAAAUUUCCUACCAAAAUGUAUGAAUUUUAUACCAUUUGGCAUUCUUUGUUUCAAUGAAUAAAUCUCAAACUUUACUCUUUUAUUUUAUUUGUCUGAUUACAUGUCUAUGUCACCAAAUCUGUGAAAUCCUGUAAGGCAGAAAAAAAUGUCUUCACAUAUCUAUACUUUAAGAUACCAAUGCUCACCUGGCAUAUGGCAGGGCACAACACGUAUUUGAUGACUAAAUGAAAAUAAUAUAAAAUAUCACCUAGUUAUACACCAAUAAUCUGAGACAUAAUUAUCAUAUCUGAGAUCUGUGUGAUUUUUUUUGAGAUGGAGUUUUGCUCUGUUGCCCAGGCUGGAGUGCAAUGGCACAAUCUCAGCUCACUGCAACCUCUGCCUCCCAGGUUCAAGCAAUUCUCCUUUCUCAGCCUCCCAAGUAGCUGGGAUUACAGGUGCAUGUCACCAUGCCUUGCUAAUUUUUGUAUUUUUAGUAGAGAUGGGGUUUCACCAUGUUGGCCAGGCUGGUCUUCAACUCCUGACCUCAGGUGAUCUGUCUGCCUCGGCCUCCCCAAGUGCUGGGAUUAUCGGAUUGAGCCACUGUAUUAUACAUGUUGUUAUUUAUUAACACAACAUCACGUUUUAAUCUUACCACAGAACCUUAAUGAAACACGGAAGCUGUUUUAUUUCCAAUUCAAACAUGAGUUAAGUAAAACACAUAAAGUUAAUUGAGUUGGCAGAGUAAAAAAGAUAGUAAGUGACAUAAUUCAGAUUUGAACUUCAUUCAUGUUGAGCCUAAAUUCGGUGUUGUUUCAAUGUGACUGAGCUAUCAGCACCUCACUUAGAUUACAUUAAGGAGUCCAUUCAUUUUAACCAUGGCCAAUGAUUUACUUAGCAGAAUUUUAUAUAAAUAAUAUUACAGAGUUUGUGAAUGUAUAAUCCCAAUAAUUAUGCAGUUCUCAAUCUUCAGUAGCAUCUAACUGUACAUACUCUGAGAAAUUUCACAUUAUAUUUACUGCACUUAAAGUACAACUGGCUCCAUUUGUUUAUUAAUGCAGGAAAAGGUGCCUUUUUAUAGAUUUUUUAAAUAGAUUAAAAAAGUGCUAUUUUAGCUUUUUAAAGUUUUGAUGGAAACUUUUCUCUAAUUGCAAUCAGUAUUAAAAAUUUGUUCUGAGUUAUAAGAAUGAAUAUAGAAAUUCACCUAUUGAGUAUUGAUGCCAUGGCAAGAAAAUUUAUCCUAGUCUUUCCUCUUCUCGUUGGAUAUUGUUAAGAGGUCAAUACAAAAUUAUAUUUAAGAGGUAAUAAAAUCAAAGUAUAGAGAGUUGAGUUGACUUAUACAUAUAUGUGUGUGUGUGAAUCGGCCUUCUUAAAAUUUCUAUGUCACAAAUCUAAAAGUGUCCUCUAAACCCUGCCUUAUAAAUAAUUAUAUGAUGACAAUUGUAUAAAGUUUAAGUUGAAUGCUAUCAGACGUCAAAGAGAAGUGGUUCUCCAGGAAAAAAUAAUAAGAAAACAAUUAUCAAAAAAGUAUCUUGACUUCUGGAUGUAAGCACUGUAACUGAAUUUUACAAUCUGAGUUGAUACAGACAUCAGUCUUUAUUGAGUUGUGAUUUUCACUUCAGACAAUAAAAAUGUAUUACCUUUUCUAUAAUUUUUACCCAGGGUAAUCUUGCUUUAAAUGUGUUUCUUAGUUGCCAAGGCAACCAGCAUUCCUUAUCUUGCCAUUUACACUUAUUUUGAACACUUAUUGUAGUUUUUUGGUCCUUUUUCUUUAAACAAUGGCCUAACAAAUACAUGCAAUAUCUGCAAAAGUUAUUAAAAAUGAUAAUUUCAAAAAUUAUUCUGA